UACGUAGGGUGCAAGCGUUAAUCGGAAUUACUGGGCGUAAAGCGUGCGCAGGCGGUUGUGUAAGACAGAUGUGAAAUCCCCGGGCUCAACCUGGGAACUGCAUUUGUGACUGCACAGCUGGAGUGCGGCAGAGGGGGAUGGAAUUCCGCGUGUAGCAGUGAAGUGCGUAGAUAUGCGGAGGAACACCGAUGGCGAAGGCAAUCCCCUGGGCCUGCACUGACGCUCAUGCACGAAAGCGUGGGGAGCAAACAGG
This 253-nucleotide ribosomal RNA is filed under the name uncultured bacterium. Its description in RNAcentral is "partial 16S ribosomal RNA". It matches the Rfam family "Bacterial small subunit ribosomal RNA", at positions 524 to 776 of the family's 1533-position model. The record is from RNAcentral.